Molecule: long non-coding RNA, 6059 nt
Filed under: Brassica napus (rape)
Lineage: Eukaryota; Viridiplantae; Streptophyta; Magnoliopsida; Brassicales; Brassicaceae
Description: long non-coding RNA (BNAP_LNC001264)
Source: RNAcentral
UAAUGAGUAGGUAUUGAGAAUCUAUAUAAGUAAGGUCGUAAUGUUUUAUGCAAGUUAAGCAGAUGUUGAUGGAUGCUGUAAGGGCACUAAAGAAUUUGGUUAUGAAUAAAUAGAGUACCAAAGCUUUGUUGCCAUAAUUUUCUUGUUGUAUUUGCAUGGCUAAUGUAAUGAAGAAUAUGAUGAUAGGACGAGAAAAAGGAAGUAACUGUCCUGGAAAUAAAAAGAAAUAACAAAGCUAUAAGAAUGGGAACUUAAUAUUAUGCUUGUGAUUUCUAUAAAAUAUAUUAUUUAUCCUUUUCCCACUCUUUAAUAUCAUUAUUGUAAUAAAACUCAUAGUUUAUAUAUGUACAUGUAAGAUAGCAAACUAAAGUUGUAUUUUUCUCCUUAUGUGUUAUUUUAUCUUUUUUAUAGUUAGCAGAUUUUUCUUUUUGAAUAUGUAAAGGUUCUAUGACCAGAAAAUCUUAGGGUGAAAUUCAAACCAUUUAAAAUUAACAGCUUUAAUUUAGAGUUAUGUGUUAUCUUUUCUUGCUCUUGCAUAAACUGACGAGAAAGGACGAUUAAGACAUAUUUUUCGACGUUUUGAGUCUACUAAAUUCCUUUUGCGUCAAUUUAUCUGAAAGCACUUUGUUUGAUGUUUCAAUCUUUGUUCGAAUCGUAUUUUGUGAGUUUUAAUUUCCGAUAUGUUAUUUUACAUGGUUAGCCAACUGAGGAUAGAUAACAAACCCAUUUUCGUUGAUGUAUUUGUAAUUAUAUAACUAUAAUGUGACCAAGACACAUUGACAAGAGUUGUAGAUAUUGCUAAAAUUUCACUUUAUUGAGGAAAAGGUAAAUAUAGGGCUCUCCUAAUAAUUGAGUUCACACAUGAAAAACUUAGACAUUGAAGCUAAUAUACUAGUCUAAAAAGAGUGUCCACAUAGGCACAAAAAAUCAUCCAAUCAGAGAGCUCGAAUUUGCCACGUCAUAUCAUUUAUUUUUUCGUAAAAAAUAAAAAAACAAUGUAAAGGAGAGGAUCGAACCCGGGUUAGUAUGACAUAAAUAUAGGACAAAUACCACUAAGCCAUUGAAACUUUUUUGGACACAUAUACAAGAAUCACUAAAUAUGUAAUCACACUCUUAUGUACAUUUACAAUAAUAUGGAUUCAAUUUCCAAGACUCCGAUACUUUGUUUUGUAAAAAAAAAUAACUAAGUGACUAAGAUAAUAUAUUCUUUGAAAGUGUGAGAACAUUGACAAAUAUGAAAAGACAUAGAUUUUUGUUUUCGUGAAAAAGUUAAGAAUUUUGUAAAAGUAAGUUUAACAUAUAAAUUUUCGUGACAAAUAUGAAAAAACAUAGAUUUUUGUACAAUUUUGGCAAAACAACUCAAAACAUAAUUCCCUAAUGUCUUAAUAAAAUAUUAUUUAAGGGUGCGAUAAUUAAAUAUAUCAAUUCAAUAAAUUUUGUAAUUUAUAGACAAAACAAUAACACAACAAAUUUUGAAAUAUUUAUUUAACUAAUCGAUUUCUUUUCAUGAGAAUCCAACUAAAGAAGAUAGAAAAAAAUAAUUAGAUUUAUUUAAUUAUGAUUUUAUUAAAUUUUGAUUAAUUUCAAAUUGUAAUAAUGUAUCUUUUUGAAGUUACAAAAAAAUAAUGUUCUUUCUUUAUUACACUAGCAUUAUAUAUAGAUUCCAUAUACACAAAUAAAUAUAAUAUAACAACAUAAGCUUGCUUUCCCCGAUUCAUAUGAAAACUUUUAAGUUAUCCACCAAAACAAAUUAAUUAAAUCAAUCAAAUUGUUAGAAUAUAACAAAUUAAUAUAUAAUUUUAUUUUAAAUUAAAUUAUUUAAAAAGUGUAUUUUCAUUAAAAACAAAAUAAUAAAUAAGUAAAACUGAUUUAAUGGUAAUUUUUAUGACAUAUAUAUAUUAUGUGAAAGAAAUAUAAGCUUAAUAUGGAAAAAAAUCUUAAAUACAAAAAACUCUAAAAUUAACAAAAAAACAAAUAAAAAUUAAACUAUUAUAUCAAUUGAAAGCUUCUUAGACAAUAUUAAUAAAAUAUUUAAGCGAUAAUUAGACAAAUUUGAUUUUUUUUCAGCCAAAAGUUUAUUAUUAAUUAGCAUCAGUUAUUUCAAGAUGUUUAAGAAAUGAUGGACUUAAAUGAUAUAUGAACUAUGAAUAGUAGUACUUUGUAAAGCUGACUUAGAUAACACAUCUGCACAUUAUUUCCAGUCCUUUUUUAUGCCUAAAUUCAAUUUCUUCUGAGCAAUUAUUCCACAAAAAGAUCGUAUGAGAUAUUGUUUUGAUAUUCAGAUUUGUUUCUUGACUGUUAAGAAGAUUGAUAACUGUAAAAAUGUCUCCUUCGAAUAUUAUAUGUCUAUAACUGAAUCUCCAACAUGUGACAACUUUGUUUAAAAAAUAAAUAAUUUCAUUUUUUUAUAUUAUAUAAUAAAUAUAUAUUAUUUACUGAUAAUAAAAAUAUAGUUAUUCAUCUAUCACAAAUAUCUAUGCAAAUAUGUGAAUCAAGUACAACAAUCAAAUAACAUAAUUGUUUCCACAAAGAAAAUUUAUAAAAUAUAUUUAUGUUAUGUAGUCUUAUUUUAUAUUUUUUAAAUAAUGUAAUACAAUAUUAUAUAUUAUUUUUUAGAAUUAAAAAAUACAUAUAAUAUCUUAUACGCGCGUAGCGCGGUUAGAAAAUCUAGUUUCUAUAAAAGAUAUUAUUUAUCCUUUUCCCACGCUUUAAUAUCAUUAUUGUAAUAAAACUCAUAGUUUAUAUAUGUACAUGUAAGAUUGAAAAUUAAGGUUGUCUUUUUCUCCUUAUGUGUUAUUUUAUCUUUUUUAUAGUUAGCAGAUUUUUCUUUUUGAAUAUCUAAAGGUUCUAUGACCAGAAAAUCUUAGGUUGAAAUUCAAACCAUUUAAAAUUAACAGCUUUAAUUUAGAGUUAUGUGUUAUCUUUUCUUUCUCUUGCAUAAACUGACGAGAAAGGACGAUUAAGACAUAUUUUUCGACGUUUUGAGUCUUCUAAAUCCCUUUUGCGUCAAUUUAUCUGAAAGCACUUUGUUUGAUGUUUCAAUCUUUGUUCGAAUCGUAUUUUGUGAGUUUUAAUUUCCGAUAUAUUAUUUUACAUGGUUAGCCAACUGAGGAUAGAUAACAAACCCAUUUUUGUUGAUGUAUUUGUAAUUAUAUAACUAUAAUGUGACCAAGACACAUUGACAAGAGUUGUAGAUAUUGCUAAAAUUUCACUUUAUUGAGGAAAAGGUAAAUAUAGGGCUCUCCUAAUAAUUGAGUUCACACAUGAAAAACUUAGAAAUUGAAGCUAAUAUACUAGUCUAAAACUGUAGACAAACAAUCAUUGUUCCUUUCAGUUGUGUGCAGGGGAGUUAGGGAUGAUACGCGCACAAUUGUCCUUGAGGAGAGGAGGGAAGAAAGGAUUCAAAGGAAACAUAUGAGGCCAACAGUUUGCAUCUAAAGUUGAAAACACCUUGCAGCAUGCCGCUUCAACGUUUUCAAAUUUUCCAGAAAAAAAUGAGUUGGAGAUUGCCAGGACACAUCCUUGGACGGUAAAGAGAGACGACCAACAUUUGACGAGAUCAAUAGGUACUAAGCCAGGUGGAAAAAGUCCUGGAAUCGCCUGAGGAUUUUGCAUUUGAGCUACUCCACGAGUGACAAAGAUGGCAGCACACAGUGAAAUAAUUAAGUAGACUGAGACAACAGCUUUGCUUCCCAUCUUAUUGGUUAAUCUUUUUUUUUCUUGUCCUUUUUAUUUCGUUUAUGCUUAAAAGCUAGGAUGGAUUUUGAUAUGCACAGAUACUAAGAAUAUAUAGGGUGAGGAUACAAAAUUUUAUCAUAUAAAUUAAAGAGAAUGUACGGUAUCAGUUUUAGAAUUUCUUUCAAAAUGAAACUCAUGUUUAGGUUAAUGUAUUUUGAGUUACACUUUCAAGUUGAGUUGACCAAUAUAACUAUAGUAUGGUCAUAUUUACGUUAUCAAACAGAAUAUUGAAAGUUUAUUUUGACCCCCACUAUUUUAUAUUGUUUUUGAUAUUUGUUUUAACAUCUGUGAAUGUGUCUCAGCCUUAAGAUGAUUAACCUUAAAUAUUUCAUCUUAGGAAAACCGCAUGUAAAAUAGCAGCCGGUUUCUAAUUUUCUUAUGGUGAGUAAAUUUUCGUUUGAGGGACAUCAGGACAAGUAGGUUGUAAGUAGGUAUUGAGAAUCUAUAUAAGUAAGGUCGUAAUGCUUUAUGGAAGUUAAGCAGAUGUUGAUGCAUGCUGUAAUGGCACUGAAGAAUUUGGUUAAAAUUAAAUAAAGUACAAAGGCGUUGUUGCCAUAAUUUUUUUGUUGUAUUUGCAUGGCUAAUGUAAUGAAGAAUAUGAUGAUAGGACGAGAAAAAGGAAGUAACUGUCCCGGGAAUAAAAGCAAAUAACAAAGCUAGAUGAAUGGGAACUUAAUAUUAUGCUUGUGAUUUCUAUAAAAUAUAUUAUUUAUCCUUUUCCCACUCUUUAAUAUCAUUAUUGUAAUAAAACUCAUAGUUUAUAUAUGUACAUAUAAGAUAGCAAACUAAAGUUAUAUUUUUCUCCUUAUGUGUUAUUUUAUCUUUUUUAUAGUUAGCAGAUUUUUCUAGAUUGCCAAGACACAUCCUUGGACGGUAAAGAGAGACGACCAACAUUUGACGAGAUCAAUAGGUACUAAGCCAGGUGGAAAAAGUCCUGGAAUCGCCUGCGGAUUUUGCAUUUGAGCUACUCCACGAGUGACAAAGAUGGCAGCACACAGUGAAAUAAUUAAGUAGACUGAGACAACAGCUUUGCUUCCCAUCUUAUUGGUUAAUCUUUUUUUUUCCUUGUCCUUUUUAUUUCGGUUAUGCUUAAAAGCUAGGAACAAUCAUUGUUCCUUUCAGUUGUGUGCAGGGGAGUUAGGGAUGAUACGCGCACAAUUGUCCUUGAGGAGAGGAGGGAAGAAAGGAUUCAAAGGAAACAUAUGAGGCCAACAGUUUGCAUCUAAAGUUGAAAACACCUUGCAGCAUGCCGCUUCAACGUUUUCAAAUUUUCCAGAAAAAAAUGAGUUGGAGAUUGCCAGGACACAUCCUUGGACGGUAAAGAGAGACGACCAACAUUUGACGAGAUCAAUAGGUACUAAGCCAGGUGGAAAAAGUCCUGGAAUCGCCUGAGGAUUUUGCAUUUGAGCUACUCCACGAGUGACAAAGAUGGCAGCACACAGUGAAAUAAUUAAGUAGACUGAGACAACAGCUUUGCUUCCCAUCUUAUUGGUUAAUCUUUUUUUUUUCUUGUCCUUUUUAUUUCGGUUAUGCUUAAAAGCUAGGAUGGAUUUUGAUAUGCACAGAUACUAAGAAUAUAUAGGGUGAGGAUACAAAAUUUUAUCAUAUAAAUUAAACAGAAUGUACUGUAUCAGUUUUAGAAUUUCUUUCAAAAUGAAACUCAUGUUUAGGUUAAUGUAUUUUGAGUUACACUUUCUUUCAUGAAGUUGAGUUGACCAAUAUAACUAUAUUAUGGUCAUAUUUACGUUAUCAAACAGAAUAUUGAAAGUUUCUUUUGACCCCCACUAUUUUAUAUUGUUUUUGAUAUUUGUUUUAACAUUUGUAAAUGUGUCUCAGCCUUAAGAUGAUUAACCUUAAAUAUUUCUUCUUAGGAAAACCGCAUGUAAAAUAGCAGCUGGUUUCUAAUUUUCUUAUGGUGAGUAAAUUUUUGUUUGAGGGACAUCAGGACAAGUAGGUUGUAAUAAGUAGGUAUUGAGAAUCUAUAUAAGCAAGGUCGUAAUGUUUUAUGGAAGUUAAGCAGAUGUUGAUGCAUGCUGUAAUGGCACUGAAGAAUUUGGUUAAAAUUAAAUAGAGUACCAAAGCGUUGUUGCCAUAAUUUUCUUGUUGUAUUUGCAUGGCUAAUGUAAUGAAUAAUAUGAUGAUAGAAUGAGAAAAAGGAAGUAACUGUCCCGGGAAUAAAAAAAAAUAACAAAGCUAGACGAAUGGGAACUUAAUAUUAUACUUGUGAGUUCUAUAAAAAAAAUUAUUUAUCCUUUUUCCACUCUUUAAUAUCAGUAUUGUAAUAAAACUCAUAGUUUAUAUAUGUACAUGUAAGAUAGCAA